CCCUGUUAUACUAUUAAAAAAUAAUAUUUCAAAAAAAAAUAAUAUAAUAAAUUUGACGGUAUUAACUUUUACAAAGGAAUUUGUUUCUAAAUCGAAAAUACACGAUUCACCUUACUUAAUUAUUAUUUGUAUACCACCGUAUAGUAGUUAUUAAAAAUUAACUACAAAAAAAACAAUUCUAAAAUAUCAGGUCAAGGUGCAAUUUUAUUAAGAUGAAAUGAAUUACAUUAUAUAAUACAUACAUAUAAAAAUUGAAAUAAUUUUUAAAACUAGAAUUUGUUAGUAAAAUUAAAUCAUUAUGUUCAUUUGAAAACUAUCAUUAAUAUGUACAUAUCGCCCG
Molecule: ribosomal RNA, 340 nt
Filed under: Epiperipatus sp. ony156
Lineage: Eukaryota; Metazoa; Onychophora; Udeonychophora; Euonychophora; Peripatidae
Description: partial small subunit ribosomal RNA
Source: RNAcentral